Molecule: non-coding RNA, 929 nt
Organism: Gasterosteus aculeatus aculeatus (three-spined stickleback)
Lineage: Eukaryota; Metazoa; Chordata; Actinopteri; Perciformes; Gasterosteidae
Source: RefSeq, a predicted model, not a curated record
CGAGCGCAGAGGGACUACUCAUUCCUUGAAAAUGAUCAGGAGGAUUCUUUAGGGGAUGAAAUAUUUGGAUGAAAGGAGGUAGAGGGGAUAGAGUGAGCGAGGCAGGGGAGAAGCCCGUCCCUCUCCUCCACCUCGUGCCCCGCUGAAGCAGAUGGCGCUGAAUGGCUCUGCAGUGCCACCGCUCGCCUUUUGAGGACUGCUGCCAUAAGGAGGUGGGUUAGUAGGAGAUUUGGGGUGACAGUGUUUGGCAUGGGCUACAAAGCGAAGACGUUGGGAGGGGGAAAGCACUCGGUGCCCUGGGCUGACACAAAGGCCUUGGGAGUGUACCCCCUGCUGUUAAUGCAGUGAGAAAGGAGCGGAGGAGCAGCCGGGCAGGCAAAGGCAGCCGUCGCCUCACGCCGGGUGACUGACUGAACAAACUCCAUCUUGAGCAGUAAUAACACAGCAUCAGUGGCUCUUGGUGCUGGGCUUGCAGAACUGUAGUAUUAGUGGGCCUAAUGCUAUUUUGUGUUAAAAAUUGCAUUUUUAAUGUGAAGUACUUUUUCUUCCCACAUGUCUGCAGAACUUUUGCUGCGCUUCGGCUCAGUUUCUCAGAGGAACCUGAAAGGAAAUCUGUGUGCUUUGCUUUUUUUUAAGCGGCAUUUGCAAAGAACAGUUUGAGGACCACUUAGUUGAGAGACGUCAGGUCUCCAUAAUGCAUGGCAAAUGCAGAUAAAUGCACAAAGUGGGCUGUUGGUCUUCAGAGUACUUUCCGAAGAUCCUCCAAAUAGUUUUGUCUCUGUAUAUAUAAUAUUUUUUAUCGUUUAUUUGGAUUCUUGUGAUUUUUUUAGGGCUCACUUAUAAUGUUUGAUGGUUUUUCUGAUUCUCUCUGAGCGUUGCAUGCAAAUGAACCUGUGAAUCUUAUAAUUAAAGUGUUUUUCUUCACCGUG